This 463-nucleotide ribosomal RNA is filed under the name uncultured bacterium. Its description in RNAcentral is "partial 16S ribosomal RNA". It matches the Rfam family "Bacterial small subunit ribosomal RNA", at positions 28 to 507 of the family's 1533-position model. The record is from RNAcentral.
GACGAACGCUGGCGGCGUGCUUAAUACAUGCAAGUCGAACGGUGAACCUCUUCGGUGGGGAUAAGUGGCGAACGGGUGAGUGACACGUUGGCACCUUGCCCCCGUCUCUGGGAUAACUCCACGACAUUGGGGAUCAUACCCUAAGUUCACAGCAUCCCGUUAGGGUUGUGGUGGAAAGGUUUUACGGCUGGGGAUGUUCCCGCGGCCUAACAGCUUGUUGGUGGGGUAAUGUCGUAACAAGGCGACGACGGGUAGCCGGACUGAGAGGGUGACCCGCCACACUGGGACUGGGACACGGCCCGUACGGCAACGUGAGGCAGCGGUGGGGAAUAGAGCGCAAUGGGCCGAGGCCUGACGCAGCGACGCCGCGUGGGGGAUGACGGCCUUCGGGUUGUAAACCUCGUUCAGCAGGGACGAAGCGCAAGUGACGGUACCUACAGAAGAAGCACCGGCCAACUACGUG